This is a long non-coding RNA of Alnus glutinosa, 455 nucleotides long. RefSeq lists it as uncharacterized. The record is from RefSeq and is a predicted model, not a curated record. The transcript has 3 exons. Lineage: Eukaryota; Viridiplantae; Streptophyta; Magnoliopsida; Fagales; Betulaceae.
AGAAAGAAAAGAAGAGAUUUGUAGGAAACAAUGAGAAGCGUAUAGACACAAAAAGUCUCUUCAAAACAAUGCCGAUAAAAAUAAGCAAAUAGUUCCAACCUCAACCAGAGAUCCCUCGAAUAACAGAUGCCAAGAGGCAACAGAGCAAUACUCUACAAUAGAUGAGUGUAGUAUGUUCCGAGUUGAUUUUGAAUCCCAUGCAACAAACAACUUAAUUCCAACCAGAUUGCCAAUCGGAUCAGCAGAUGACCAAAACUACAAGAGUGCGAGAACAAAUUUCAACAAUCAAAUCAACACGUGGUCCGCUAAAAAAAAAAUUGGUAUAGUGCAUUAUUCGAAGAACAAAGAGAAGAGAUUCGUAGGAAACAAAGAGAAGCAAAUGCAUGGAAAAAGUCCCUUGCAAGUGAUGCUGAUAGAAAUAAGCAAAUGGUUGUAGCCUCAACUAGAAAUGCCAA